Molecule: ribosomal RNA, 460 nt
Filed under: uncultured bacterium
Lineage: Bacteria
Description: partial 16S ribosomal RNA
Rfam family: Bacterial small subunit ribosomal RNA
Source: RNAcentral
CCUACGGGAGGCAGCAGUGAGGAAUAUUGGUCAAUGGACGAGAGUCUGAACCAGCCAAGUAGCGUGAAGGAUGACUGCCCUAUGGGUUGUAAACUUCUUUUAUAUGGGAAUAAAACGUUCCACGUGUGGGAUUUUGUAUGUACCAUAUGAAUAAGGAUCGGCUAACUCCGUGCCAGCAGCCGCGGUAAUAAGGAGGAUCCGAGCGUUAUCCGGAUUUAUUGGGUUUAAAGGGAGCGUAGGUGGAUUGUUAAGUAAGUUGUGAAAGUUUGCGGCUCAACCGUAAAAUUGCAGUUGAAACUGGCAGUCUUGAGUACAGUAGAGGUGGGCGGAAUUCGUGGUGUAGCGGUGAAAUGCUUAGAUAUCACGAAGAACUCCGAUUGCGAAGGCAGUUCACUGGACUGCAACUGACACUGAGGCUCGAAAGUGUGGGUAUCAAACAGGAUUAGAUACCCGAGUAGUC